UAAUACCGGCGGCUCGAGUGGUGGCCACUAUUACUGGGCUUAAAGCGUUCGUAGCUGGGUUGUUAAGUCUCUUGGGAAAUCUACCGGCUUAACCGAUAGGCGUCCAAGGGAUACUGGCAAUCUAGGGACCGGGAGAGGUGAGGGGUACUUCAGGGGUAGGAGUGAAAUCCUGUAAUCCUUGGGGGACCACCUGUGGCGUAGGCGCCUCACCAGAACGGCUCCGACAGUGAGGGACGAAAGCUGGGGGAGCAAACCGG
This 257-nucleotide ribosomal RNA is filed under the name uncultured bacterium. RNAcentral's name for it is "partial 16S ribosomal RNA". It matches the Rfam family "Archaeal small subunit ribosomal RNA", at positions 471 to 727 of the family's 1478-position model. The record is from RNAcentral.